Long non-coding RNA from Daphnia pulicaria, 229 nucleotides. RefSeq lists it as uncharacterized. Lineage: Eukaryota; Metazoa; Arthropoda; Branchiopoda; Diplostraca; Daphniidae. The transcript is spliced from 2 exons. The record is from RefSeq and is a predicted model, not a curated record.
UACACUUUUAAAUACAAGCAAUUUUUUUCAAAAUAUUUUACAAAAAUUCAAAUUUUCAGUACCAGGAAUCCAUUGCUGUUCAUUACGACAAAACCAAGCUUACCCGAGUUUUGAAUUUCAGCUUUGUAAAUCCUUACGACAAAGUUGAAGACCAUUCUUGUGAAAAGCACCCUUUACAAGUAUAUAGGACAAAACUUCCUCCUAGAAUGUCAACAUACACAUGAGUAAA